GGCGGCGUAGCUCAGCUGGCGAGAGCGUUCGGUUCAUACCCGAAAGGUCGUGGGUUCGAUCCCCUCCGCCGCUACCA
Molecule: transfer RNA, 77 nt
Filed under: Bacilli bacterium
Lineage: Bacteria; Bacillati; Bacillota; Bacilli
Description: tRNA-Met
Rfam family: tRNA
About the family: Transfer RNA (tRNA) molecules are approximately 80 nucleotides in length.
Source: RNAcentral